This 254-nucleotide ribosomal RNA is filed under the name uncultured bacterium. RNAcentral's name for it is "partial 16S ribosomal RNA". It matches the Rfam family "Bacterial small subunit ribosomal RNA", at positions 524 to 776 of the family's 1533-position model. The record is from RNAcentral.
UACGUAGGGGGCAAGCGUUGUCCGGAUUUAUUGGGCGUAAAGAGCUCGUAGGUGGUUCGGUAAGUCGGAUGUGAAAUCUCCAGGCUCAACCUGGAGGGGUCAUUCGAUACUGCCGUGACUAGAGUUCGGUAGGGGAGUGUGGAAUUCCCGGUGUAGCGGUGAAAUGCGCAGAUAUCGGGAGGAACACCGGUGGCGAAGGCGGUUCUCUGGGCCUUACCUGACGCUGAGGAGCGAAAGCGUGGGGAGCGAACAGG